RNAcentral lists this ribosomal RNA (238 nucleotides) under uncultured bacterium. RNAcentral's name for it is "partial 16S ribosomal RNA". It matches the Rfam family "Bacterial small subunit ribosomal RNA", at positions 8 to 226 of the family's 1533-position model. The record is from RNAcentral.
AGAGUUUGAUCAUGGCUCAGGACGAACGCUGGCGGCGCGCCUAACACAUGCAAGUCGAACGGAGAUUACAGGCGGAAGUUUUCGGAUGGAAGCUUGUAAACUUAGUGGCGGACGGGUGAGUAACACGUGAGCAACCUGCCUAUCAGAGGGGGGAUAAACGAUUGGAAACGAUCGCUAAUACCGCAUGACAUAGCGGAAUCGCAUGGUUCUGUUAUCAAAGAUUUUAUCGCUGAUAGAU